This 591-nucleotide ribosomal RNA is filed under the name uncultured Bacilli bacterium. Its description in RNAcentral is "bacterial SSU rRNA". It matches the Rfam family "Bacterial small subunit ribosomal RNA", at positions 124 to 703 of the family's 1533-position model. The record is from RNAcentral. Lineage: Bacteria; Bacillati; Bacillota; Bacilli.
ACCUGCCUGGUAGCGGGGGAUAACUAUUGGAAACGGUAGCUAAUACCGCAUAAGAGUAGAUGUUGCAUGACAUUUACUUAAAAGGUGCAAUUGCAUCACUACCAGAUGGACCUGCGUUGUAUUAGCUAGUUGGUGGGGUAACGGCUCACCAAGGCGACGAUACAUAGCCGACCUGAGAGGGUGAUCGGCCACACUGGGACUGAGACACGGCCCAGACUCCUACGGGAGGCAGCAGUAGGGAAUCUUCGGCAAUGGACGGAAGUCUGACCGAGCAACGCCGCGUGAGUGAAGAAGGUUUUCGGAUCGUAAAGCUCUGUUGUAAGAGAAGAACGAGUGUGAGAGUGGAAAGUUCACACUGUGACGGUAUCUUACCAGAAAGGGACGGCUAACUACGUGCCAGCAGCCGCGGUAAUACGUAGGUCCCGAGCGUUGUCCGGAUUUAUUGGGCGUAAAGCGAGCGCAGGCGGUUAGAUAAGUCUGAAGUUAAAGGCUGUGGCUUAACCAUAGUACGCUUUGGAAACUGUUUAACUUGAGUGCAAGAGGGGAGAGUGGAAUUCCAUGUGUAGCGGUGAAAUGCGUAGAUAUAUGGAG